This 445-nucleotide ribosomal RNA is filed under the name uncultured bacterium. Its description in RNAcentral is "bacterial SSU rRNA". It matches the Rfam family "Bacterial small subunit ribosomal RNA", at positions 354 to 796 of the family's 1533-position model. The record is from RNAcentral.
GUAAGGAAUAUUGGGCAAUGGACGCAAGUCUGACCCAGCCAUGCCGCGUGCAGGAUGAAUGUCCUAUGGAUUGUAAACUGCUUUUGUACGGGAAAAAACUUCCGAACGUGUUCGGAACUGAUGGUACCGUGCGAAUAAGCAUCGGCUAACUCCGUGCCAGCAGCCGCGGUAAUACGGAGGAUGCAAGCGUUAUCCGGAUUCAUUGGGUUUAAAGGGUGCGCAGGCGGAAAGGUAAGUCAGAGGUGAAAGCCCCCGGCUCAACUGGGGAACUGCCUUUGAUACUGCCUAUCUUGAGUACAGUUGAAGUUGGCGGAAUGUGUCAUGUAGCGGUGAAAUGCUUAGAUAUGACACAGAACACCGAUAGCGAAGGCAGCUGACUAAACUGUAACUGACGCUCAUGCACGAAAGCGUGGGGAUCAAACAGGAUUAGAAACCCCGGUAGUCC